UACGUAGGGAGCAAGCGUUGUCCGGAAUCAUUGGGCGUAAAGCGCGCGUAGGCGGCCCCGUAAGUCCGCUGUGAAAGUCAAAGGCUCAACCUUUGAAAGCCGGUGGAUACUGUGGGGCUAGAGUACGGAAGAGGCGAGUGGAAUUCCUGGUGUAGCGGUGGAAUGCGCAGAUAUCAGGAGGAACACCAGUGGCGAAGGCAGCUCGCUGGGACGUUACUGACGCUGAGACGCGAAAGCGUGGGGAGCGAACAGG
RNAcentral lists this ribosomal RNA (253 nucleotides) under uncultured bacterium. RNAcentral describes it as "partial 16S ribosomal RNA". It matches the Rfam family "Bacterial small subunit ribosomal RNA", at positions 524 to 776 of the family's 1533-position model. The record is from RNAcentral.